Non-coding RNA from Pelobates cultripes (western spadefoot toad), 478 nucleotides. Lineage: Eukaryota; Metazoa; Chordata; Amphibia; Anura; Pelobatidae. The record is from the annotation of a GenBank genome assembly.
AAACCGCCUUAAGGCUUGUACGGAGAGGGAAGCAUGAAGAUAAUAAGGAGAAAGUAACGUCUGAUGAAAGAGCACAGAAAACAAACAAGUUUUCAAGAAAGAUUCUGUGCACUUUAAUAAGUAUCGGAAACCCGAAUCUCACUCCGAGAUCAGAACCACAUUUAGCCUUCUGAUUACCAUUGUUCUGUACUUGCCCACUCAGGGAGUGGGACGAGGAAAGUCAGCUAAGUAUUAUAAUUAAAGCUUUCAGUCUCUCUGCAUCAUCCGUCUUUCCUCACCUCGUUUAAAUAAGUGUAGUGAUUUAAAGGAACAUUACAUCAAAAAGUAGAAAUAAAUCAUUUGACAACGUUCAGAUUGGCCUACGAUGGAUGUUGUGGAGGUAAAAAGCACAGCCGCCUGUCAGCAACAUCGUCCAUUUAAAUAAUUAACAGUAUAUGUAGUGCUUAUUGAUUGAACAACGGCGUAUUGAUUAUAACCU